AUACGUAGGGGGCGAGCGUUGUCCGGAAUGAUUGGGCGUAAAGGGCGCGUAGGCGGCCCGGUAAGUCUGGAGUGAAAGUCCUGUUUUUAAGAUGGGAAUUGCUUUGGAUACUGUCGGGCUUGAGUGCAGGAGAGGUAAGUGGAAUUCCCAGUGUAGCGGUGAAAUGCGUAGAGAUUGGGAGGAACACCAGUGGCGAAGGCGACUUACUGGACUGUAACUGACGCUGAGGCGCGAAAGUGUGGGGAGCAAACAGGAUUAGAUACCCUGGUAGUCCACACUGUAAACGAUGAAUGCUAGGUGUAAGAGGUAUCGACCCCUUUUGUGCCGGAGUUAACACAAUAAGCAUUCCGCCUGGGGAGUACGGCCGCAAGGUUGAAACUCAAAUGAAUUGACGGGG
Molecule: ribosomal RNA, 397 nt
Filed under: uncultured bacterium
Lineage: Bacteria
Description: partial 16S ribosomal RNA
Rfam family: Bacterial small subunit ribosomal RNA
Source: RNAcentral